AAGGUAGAGGACGCGACGAUUAUCAGUAGCAUUUCUGAUGGGGCUGGCCCAAUAGACGAUCUGUGAAAGGAUGAGUCGCCGAAGCGAUGAAAUUCCACGCGGUUUCAUGGGCUGGGACUUGGAUGAAUAAUUCAAGGACUGUCAUCCGGAUAACAGGAUGGAGUGCUACGGUA
RNAcentral lists this non-coding RNA (173 nucleotides) under uncultured Eubacterium sp. RNAcentral describes it as "Lysine riboswitch". It matches the Rfam family "Lysine riboswitch aptamer". Rfam says of the family: Riboswitches are metabolite binding domains within certain messenger RNAs that serve as precision sensors for their corresponding targets. The record is from RNAcentral. Lineage: Bacteria; Bacillati; Bacillota; Clostridia; Eubacteriales; Eubacteriaceae.